Molecule: non-coding RNA, 921 nt
Filed under: Frostius erythrophthalmus
Lineage: Eukaryota; Metazoa; Chordata; Amphibia; Anura; Bufonidae
Description: partial 12S ribosomal RNA
Rfam family: Bacterial small subunit ribosomal RNA
Source: RNAcentral
UGGUCCCAGCCUUAAAAUCAAUUUUUACUUAACAUACACAUGCAAGUCUCCCCCUCCCUGUGAAAACGCCCUUACUUCCUAAUAGGACUCAGGAGCUGGUAUCAGGCACAAAAAUCUGCCCAAUACACCUAGCUUUGCCACACCCACAAGGGAACUCAGCAGUGAUUAAUAUUAUUUAUAAGCGUAAGCUUGACUUAGUUAGAGUAAUUCAAAGCCGGCCAAUCUGGUGCCAGCCGCCGCGGUUACACCACGUGACUUAGAUUGAUUUUUAUCGGCGUAAAGCGUGAUUAAAAUUAUAUUACAUUAAGGUCAAACUAUAAUUAAGCUGUGACACGCUUAUAACCAAGAAGCUCAAAUACGAAAGUUACCUUAUCACCCUCCACUUGAAUUCACGACAAUUAGGAUCCAAACUGGGAUUAGACACCCCACUAUGCCUAAUCGUAAACUUUAAUUUACAUAUAAUCGCCAGGGGACUACGAGCUAAGCUUAAAACCCAAAGGACUUGACGGUACCCCAUAUCCACCUAGAGGAGCCUGUUCUAUAAUCGAUAAUCCACGAUAUACCUCACCAUUUUUAGCCAAUCAGCCUGUAUACCUCCGUCGUCAGCUUACCUCGUGAGCGAAAACCUUAGUAAGCCAAAUGUUUAUUCAACAACACGUCAGGUCAAGGUGCAGUAAAUAUAAUGGAAAGAAAUGGGCUACACUUUCUAAAUUAGAAUAUACAGAAAACUCUAUGAAACACAGUUAGAAGGCGGAUUUAGAAGUAAAAAGAAACCAGCAUAUUCAUUUUAACUUGGCACUGGGGUGUGUACACACCGCCCGUCACCCUCUUCAAACUUACUUUUAAGUAUUUAACAUCUUCAUAUUUUAUAGAAGAGGCAAGUCGUAACACGGUAAGCAUACCGGAAGGUGUGCUUGGAAA